Molecule: long non-coding RNA, 131 nt
Organism: Etheostoma spectabile (orangethroat darter)
Lineage: Eukaryota; Metazoa; Chordata; Actinopteri; Perciformes; Percidae
Exons: 3
Source: RefSeq, a predicted model, not a curated record
AAAGUCAAUAAACCAGAGCAUGUUUUUGUCCCCUCCCGGAAUGCUGGGUGGACUAGCCACCAUCCUCUGCAGCGCUGUGGAGGAAAGUCUGGCAACGCGAGACAACAUGGCCAUUAAUAAGCACUGACACU